This 253-nucleotide ribosomal RNA is filed under the name uncultured bacterium. RNAcentral's name for it is "partial 16S ribosomal RNA". It matches the Rfam family "Bacterial small subunit ribosomal RNA", at positions 524 to 776 of the family's 1533-position model. The record is from RNAcentral.
UACGUAGGGUGCGAGCGUUGUCCGGAAUUAUUGGGCGUAAAGAGCUCGUAGGCGGUUUGUUGCGUCGGCCGUGAAAACCUGCAGCUUAACUGUGGGCCUGCGGCCGAUACGGGCAGACUUGAGUUCGGUAGGGGAGACUGGAAUUCCUGGUGUAGCGGUGAAAUGCGCAGAUAUCAGGAGGAACACCGGUGGCGAAGGCGGGUCUCUGGGCCGAUACUGACGCUGGGGAGCGAAAGCGUGGGGAGCGAACAGG